This 874-nucleotide ribosomal RNA is filed under the name uncultured eukaryote. Its description in RNAcentral is "SSU rRNA". It matches the Rfam family "Eukaryotic small subunit ribosomal RNA", at positions 578 to 1472 of the family's 1831-position model. The record is from RNAcentral.
GGUAAUUCCAGCUCCAAUAGCGUAUAUUAAAGUUGUUGCGGUUAAAAAGCUCGUAGUUGGAUCUCGGCGGGCAGGGGGUGGUUCGCUCUUCAGCGCUACUGCCCCGCUUUGCCCGUGUGAUUGGCGGAGGUUUCGGGGUGCUCUUCGUUGAGUGACUCGGAGCGCCGUCAGGUUUACUUUGAAAAAAUUAGAGUGCUCAAAGCAGGCUUUUCACGCUUGAAUAUUCGUGCAUGGAAUAAUGGAAUAGGAACUCGUUUCUAUUUUGUUGGUUUUCGGAAAUCGAGUUAAUGAUUAACAGGGACAAUUGGGGGCAUUAGUAUUCAGACGACAGAGGUGAAAUUCUUGGACCGUCUGAAGACUGACUACUGCGAAAGCAUUUGCCAAGAGUGUUUUCAUUAAUCAAGAACGAAAGUUAGAGGUUCGAAGGCGAUCAGAUACCGCCCUAGUUCUAACCAUAAACGAUGCCAGCUAGCGAUCUGCCGAGUUUUUUUUGUAGGCUCCGCAGGAAGCUUUCGGGAAACCAAAGCUUUUGGGUUCCGGGGGAAGUAUGGUUGCAAAGCUGAAACUUAAAGGAAUUGACGGAAGGGCACCACCAGGAGUGGAGCCUGCGGCUUAAUUUGACUCAACACGGGAAAUCUCACCAGGCCCGGACACUGGAAGGAUUGACAGAUUGAGAGCUCUUUCUCGAUUCGGUGGGGUGGUGGUGCAUGGCCGUUCUUAGUUGGUGGAGUGAUUUGUCUGGUUAAUUCCGAUAACGAACGAGACUCUGUCCUGCUAAAUAGUUGGGUCGUCCUUCGUGCGAUCCAAGUUCUUCUUAGAGGGACUGGCUGCGUCUAGCAGCACGAGAUUGAGCAAUAACAGGUCUGUGAUGCCC